RNAcentral lists this ribosomal RNA (253 nucleotides) under uncultured bacterium. RNAcentral describes it as "partial 16S ribosomal RNA". It matches the Rfam family "Bacterial small subunit ribosomal RNA", at positions 524 to 776 of the family's 1533-position model. The record is from RNAcentral.
UACGGGGGGGGCAAGCGUUGUUCGGAAUUACUGGGCGUAAAGGGCUCGUAGGCGGCCAACUAAGUCAUACGUGAAAUCCCUCGGCUUAACCGGGGAACUGCGUCUGAUACUGGAUGGCUUGAGUUCGGGAGAGGGAUGCGGAAUUCCAGGUGUAGCGGUGAAAUGCGUAGAUAUCUGGAGGAACACCGGUGGCGAAGGCGGCAUCCUGGACCGAUACUGGCGCUGAGGAGCGAAAGCCAGGGGAGCAAACGGG